GACAGCAUUACCGAUUCCAUUGCAUUUUCAUCUUUGUCAAUCUUCAUCAUGAUUUUUCGACGAUUUUCCUCCCUUCGUACCUCUGCAAAAACCUCUCGUGUAGUUGGUAGUGGUCGCCGACUCGAGAUUCGCCCCCUAACAUCAUCCAAAUCGCGGUUGAGGCCAACCAGAAAUUCAAAGACCCGUUCAUUUUCAAACCUUUUUCUCGUAUCGUGCGUUGUCGCCAAGGGAUUCCCAUUCCUUAUCGAGACUAAGGUCAAGUUCUUUACACAGGUUCAUCAUCUCCAAAUAGGAGUCAGUAACUUCUCUUUCCCCUUGCUUGGUUUUCCAUAACUGGGUCUUUAAUUCUGAAAUUAGUGAGGUGUUUUCUCCAUUUGAUUAUGCCUCUUUCACUACGUCCCAGACUUCUUUCACUGUCGGCAAAAAUAGGUAGAUUUUACCUAUUGACG
This 449-nucleotide long non-coding RNA is filed under the name Olea europaea (common olive). RNAcentral's name for it is "long non-coding RNA (OEUR_LNC004817)". Lineage: Eukaryota; Viridiplantae; Streptophyta; Magnoliopsida; Lamiales; Oleaceae. The record is from RNAcentral.